Ictidomys tridecemlineatus (thirteen-lined ground squirrel) is the source of this 4561-nucleotide non-coding RNA. NCBI's taxonomy places the organism in Eukaryota, Metazoa, Chordata, Mammalia, Rodentia, Sciuridae. The record is from RefSeq and is a predicted model, not a curated record.
UUAAAAAAGGCCUACGGUAUAGGUAUUUCUAUUUCCAUUUUCCAGAAAACUACCUAAUCUUUGAGGUGUCAGUGACUUUCUCAAGGUCACAAAGCUAGGAAAUGGCAGGGCCAGAAUCUGUGCCCAGGGAACAAGUCAGCAGUCUUAAUACCUGGCGCUCCUCCUCAGCUGUGUUACUAAGGAUGGAGACGGGUCCCUUACAGAAAGGUGGACAUUGUCAGCAUUGCACCUGGGGCUCGGAGGAGGCUGUGUGUUUGAGGGAGCACAUGUAAGCGGUGGGCUUUUGGCCCCCCAACUUCACUCCCUCCACACCCGUAUGCAUGGUGACCUCCCACAGAGAUGAAUUUCCACCUUCUCCAGCAUUUCUGGAUGUUGUUUCCUGUGCUUAAAAGGCCUGACCUGGUACAUCAGGCUACCCUCUGUUCACUCUCCCAUCACCAAGCCAUUGUUGGGCCUGCUCGGUGUCAGACCCUGCUGGAGAGAGGCUAGAGGGAUAAACAGACAUGACCUCCUCCCUCUGGAGCUCCUCCUCUGGGAGAUAAACGCACCAGGCCAACAAGGUCAGCACAGGUAAGAGGCCUGGGGCAGGGGGUGUGCCCUUCAAAAGGGUGUAGGAGAAGUGAACAUCACUGCCAUUUUCCAAUUAUUAAAAUGCCAUGUAGUGUAUAUUUUUUAAAGUCAAAGAUAAGUUCUAAUUGUUACCAGACCAGCAAUCUGAAAGCUCCUAGUAAAAUUUUCUCGCUGCUAUAAACUCUUUUCCCAUCUCAUCCUUCCCUCCCUCCCUCCUUACUUCUCAUCCCUUAGAGAUGUCAUGACCAACUCUUCCACCUCCUCCUGGCCAGGCACUAUGCUCAUUCCUCAUCCUUCAAACCCAGACUGCGGUCCCCUACAGAAGGACCUUCUUGAACCAUAAGUUUCCCAAGAAGUUGGAAUUAGGUAUCUUCCUUCUGCUCCUGCUGUCUCCUACCAGGAAUGAUUUCUGUGAGCUACCUAGACUGAGCACUCUUUACUACAGUGUUGCACAAGUAGUAGACAUAGUUGUUCAGUGAAUAUUUGCUCUAAAUACAGGUAAAUUAAAUUCAGGAAAAAAACAUAGUGAAUGCUACAGAAAGAAUUAUACAGAAAAAAAAAAGAGGGACUCAAUUAUACAGCUGUUAGAUCUUCUUGCCACCUGAGAUGCCAUGAGAUAUUUCAAGCUUUCUGAAUGCUGGAGUUACUCAGGGCAGCCUGCUGGCCCUGAUCCACCUUACCUGCUAAGCACCGACGGGAUGCUCUGACACAUCUCUUUACUUCAGACUCAUGAAGAAUAUCUGAUUUGGGCAAUGACUCUUCCUUGCCCUUGUCUUCAAAGGUAUUUGCAUCUCUGAUCUUUUUUUCUUUUUUAAAAAAAUAUUUUUUAGAUGUUGAUGGACCCUUAUUUUAUUCAUUUCUUUAUAUGUAGUGCUGAGAAUUGAACCCAGUGCCUCAUAUAUGCUAGGCAAGUUCUCAACCACUGAGCCACAACUGCAGCCCACAUCUCUGAUCUUUCAACUGAGUCAUGGAAGCCCAGAAUAAAGCUGCAUCUCCCAGAAACUCUCUGCAUCUCCCCAGCCUGGGGAGGCCAAUGGGAAGUCAUCCAUCACUACUGUGUGUCAUUUCUACAUCUGUCUUUAAAGACACAAGGCCUCCUGGACCCCUCCAGAACCUGCUGGCUAGAAUGUCUCCUGUUCACACAGUGAAAUAUCCAGACAAAAGCCAUGCCCAGGAGGUCAGGGAGCAAAGACAGAAGGAGGUAGAGUCCCUGGCAGGUGGGAAUCCUUAGCAGCCUUGGAAUGCUCACCUGCAGAAACAGAAGAGAGAGGCAGAAAUGACCAUCAAUCUUGUUUAAGACUUUUUUUUCUGGUCUCUGUAACAUGCAACCAUACCUAAUUAUUCUCAGAACAUGACACUUUGUUAUGGUUUCAAUAUGAGAUAUCCUCCAAAACUCAGGAGACAAUGUAGCCAUGAUCAGAGGUGAAAAGAUCAGAUUAUUAAGUGCUGUCACCUAAUCAGUGGAUUAAUCCACUUGAUGGAUUAAUAACUUGAAAGUAUUGCUUUCAGUAUUGGGUGGUCACUGUAGGCAGACAGGGCAUGGCUGGGGGAAGCAGGUCACUGGGGGUGUGCUUUUGAUGAUUAUUUUUGUGUCCUUGGUGCCUCCCUCUCUCUCCCUCUACUUCCUGUCAUAGACUGAGCAAGUUUUCUCUCCCGUACUCCGACCCCAGGACGCUCUGCCUCUCCUCAGACCCAGAGCAAUGGAGUUGGCAAACCAUAGGCUAAAACUUUGAAUCUGUGAGCCCAAAAUAAAUUUUGUUCUUAAGUGUUCUGGUCAGGUAAUUAAGUCACAGAAACAAAAACCUGCAUGACUUCAUAGGUCACCUAAUCUGAUGAUGUUCAACCUCUUCGGAGUCAAGAUAAUUUUAGAGUUUGAAGAAAGAAUUUUCCCUAAAAUGAGAAAAAGGGAGUGUCCACAGGGGAACAUGAGUCUUGUGGUUCAGCAUCCCUGGCUUGGAAUCUAAAGCCUGCAAAGACUCUAACCCUUGCUGAGGGUCACAUGGGAAACUGGAAACAGGUCAAGGACUAGGACUCAGCCUUCUUCCCACGAGCUUUGUCAUUCUCUAGAGAACACCCUCUGACAGCAGGGUAGAUGUUGGUCACUUCUCAACCACUACUUCUGGCAAAAAUGCCAUGCGUCAUCCUGACUGGGCUGUGGCCCUCAACAAGAAGUAGUCACUGAACCCCUCCUAGAGUCAGGCACAGGAGGUCACUCCUGUCAGUGGGGAGCUCACACCCAAUGGAGGAGUCAAACACUCAGUGGGUUGGAACAGUAACACAUUUAUAAUAACAAUUGGGGGUGAUUACUAAAGGAAAUGAAGAGGAUGGCAGUGGAGGAUGAUAGGGAGAUUCUCUGGGAGUCCGGGAAGACCGCUUUGUGGAGGCUCCAUUUAUGUUGCGCUGAGAAGAAGGAUCCAGACCUGUAAAGCAGGGUAGGGGAGUGUCUCGAGGCAGGGGAAAACCUGUGCAGAGAUCUCAGAAGGACAGAGCUAGAGCUGUGAAGAGCUGGCAGAAAGCUCAGAGUGUCUGAGUUCAGUAACUAGCCACAAGGGAGCGGUUGACCUGGGCAAAGCCAUGCAGGUCCAGUAGAUUCUCAGUGGGCCCUUAACAAAUUGGGGUCUUUAUCUUAAUGAAAAUGAGAAGCCAUUGAAAAGCCUCCAAGCUUCCUCUCCAGAGAGAGAAAUGAUAGGAUUCUGUGUUUUUUAAAGACCACUGUGGCUGCUGUUUGGAAAUGAAUGUGAUGGAGGGUGAGAUUAGAUAGGGGAAAACCAUCUGAAAGGCAGCCCAGCUCUGAAAUAAUGGCUGUCGCAGAUGGGUUUGAAAUGUGUUCUGGGUGUGGGAUAUAUUUUGGCUUUGUGGGGACUUGGUGUAGAGUGAGGAAGAGGGACAAAUGACAGAUGAGCUCAUAAGUCUCCUGAGAACCCUACAGGAUUCCCCUGUGGAAUUCAAGAGCAAAGAGAGUUCAGAUUCACUCUGAAGCUAUUAGAAGAUCCUUCUUGGCAGUUACUGACCUUCUGGCAACCUUUACAGAAUGAAAAAAGCAAGACAAGGUUAAACUCUGAAUUGCUUUGAUAAGCCAGACCCUUAAGAAAAGGGUGAAAGUUGCAAAUUCGGAAUAAGAUUUGAGCACAUGGCUGAUUUCAUUACAGUUCCAAAAGUUGGUUGUCCAGCCCCUGGAAGGAUCAUGUCUUCUCAUCCUCUCAUAAUUGACUGGGCCAUGUGACUCCCUUUGACCAAUGAAAUCCAAGAGAAAGUAAUGUUUGCCACAUCCAAGCUUUAAGAACCAGGUAUGGUUCCUCCAUCCCACCGUCUCCCUGCUCCUGGGACCAAGGUAGAGCAUGCUUCUCCAGCACCUGCCUCAAAUCAAGAUCAAAGAGCAGAGGUCAACCCACCUGGAGCUGGUGUGUACCUAAGAAAAUCUCAUCCUCCAACCAGCUCCCCCAGGCUCACUCACGUGGCAGGAUUUAAGCAGAAGCAAGAGAAAAUAACUGACAGCCAGUGCUUUUCAGCUCUUUCUUGUGUCACAAUGGCUAACAUCCAAGGCACGUCACAUGGCGAGGCCACUGAAUUGUUGGUGGAGCUCCUUGUGUUUUAAGUCACCUUUAUUGUCCUUCCCCUGCUCAUCCGUUUGUGGCUGACAAAUGAAAGAGCAGACUAAAUCAGGUGACCCCUGGAACUGGACUCAAGGAACAGGAAAAGUGACGGGUGCCAUCCUGUGUUGUGUCCCUUUGUGAUUAAGGCACAUGAUGGUGAUGGAGCUUCCCCACUCCUGCUCAUGGCAGAUAAAUCAUGGCCUUCUCCUCAGCCGGAAAGACACUUGGGAGAGACACUCGCGCAAGAGAACAAGGAUGAGUCCACGCACUGCGGUUCGUGCCACCAAGUGUGGCAUAUGUACCAGCCAGCACUGAUAGUUGGGGACUCCAAGUCACGGGAUGAUAAAUGUCCACAGGAGAAAACUUAUGAGUACAGUUUCUGAAAGAGCCAACAUCAA